Molecule: ribosomal RNA, 253 nt
Filed under: uncultured bacterium
Lineage: Bacteria
Description: partial 16S ribosomal RNA
Rfam family: Bacterial small subunit ribosomal RNA
Source: RNAcentral
UACGUAGGGGGCUAGCGUUGUCCGGAUUUAUUGGGCGUAAAGAGCGUGUAGGCGGCCAGGUAGGUCUGCUGUGAAAACUCGAGGCUCAACCUCGAGACGUCGGCGGAAACCAUCUGGCUAGAGUCCGGAAGAGGAGAGUGGAAUUCCAGGUGUAGCGGUGAAAUGCGCAGAUAUCAGGAAGAACACCCGUGGCGAAGGCGACACUCUGGGCCGGUACUGACGCUGAGGAGCGAAAGCGUGGGGAGCAAACAGG